RNAcentral lists this ribosomal RNA (737 nucleotides) under uncultured Providencia sp. Its description in RNAcentral is "bacterial SSU rRNA". It matches the Rfam family "Bacterial small subunit ribosomal RNA", at positions 766 to 1502 of the family's 1533-position model. The record is from RNAcentral. Lineage: Bacteria; Pseudomonadati; Pseudomonadota; Gammaproteobacteria; Enterobacterales; Morganellaceae.
GAGCAAACAGGAUUAGAUACCCUGGUAGUCCACGCUGUAAACGAUGUCGAUUUGGAGGUUGUUCCCUUGAGGAGUGGCUUCCGGAGCUAACGCGUUAAAUCGACCGCCUGGGGAGUACGGCCGCAAGGUUAAAACUCAAAUGAAUUGACGGGGGCCCGCACAAGCGGUGGAGCAUGUGGUUUAAUUCGAUGCAACGCGAAGAACCUUACCUACUCUUGACAUCCAGAGAAUUUAGCAGAGAUGCUUUAGUGCCUUCGGGAACUCUGAGACAGGUGCUGCAUGGCUGUCGUCAGCUCGUGUUGUGAAAUGUUGGGUUAAGUCCCGCAACGAGCGCAACCCUUAUCCUUUGUUGCCAGCACAUUAUGGUGGGAACUCAAAGGAGACUGCCGGUGAUAAACCGGAGGAAGGCGGGGAUGACGUCAAGUCAUCAUGGCCCUUACGAGUAGGGCUACACACGUGCUACAAUGGCGUAUACAAAGAGAAGCGACCUCGCGAGAGCAAGCGGAACUCAUAAAGUACGUCGUAGUCCGGAUUGGAGUCUGCAACUCGACUCCAUGAAGUCGGAAUCGCUAGUAAUCGUAGAUCAGAAUGCUACGGUGAAUACGUUCCCGGGCCUUGUACACACCGCCCGUCACACCAUGGGAGUGGGUUGCAAAAGAAGUAGGUAGCUUAACCUUCGGGAGGGCGCUUACCACUUUGUGAUUCAUGACUGGGGUGAAGUCGUAACAAGGUAACCA